UGGGGAAUAUUGCACAAUGGAGGGAACUCUGAUGCAGCGACGCCGCGUGAGUGAUGAAGGAAUUCGUUUCGUAAAACUCUGUUCUAUGGGAAGAAAAGGACUGUACCAUAGGAGAAAGCUCCGGCUAAAUACGUGCCAGCAGCCGCGGUAAUACGUAUGGAGCGAGCGUUGUCCGGAAUUAUUGGGCGUAAAGGGUGCGCAAGCGGCUUUACAAGUUGGAUGUGAAAUAUUGUGGCUCAACCACAAACGUGCAUCCAAAACUGCAAAGCUUGAGUUAAGGAGAGGUAAGGGGAAUUCCUGGUGUAGCGGGGGAAUGCGUAGAUAUCAGGAGGAAUACCGGUGGCGAAGGCGACUUACUGGACUUAAACUGACGCUCAGGCACGAAAGCGUGGGGAGCAAACAGG
RNAcentral lists this ribosomal RNA (404 nucleotides) under Fusobacteriota bacterium. Its description in RNAcentral is "Fusobacteria bacterium partial 16S ribosomal RNA". It matches the Rfam family "Bacterial small subunit ribosomal RNA", at positions 355 to 776 of the family's 1533-position model. The record is from RNAcentral. Lineage: Bacteria; Fusobacteriati; Fusobacteriota.